RNAcentral lists this ribosomal RNA (432 nucleotides) under uncultured bacterium. RNAcentral describes it as "partial 16S ribosomal RNA". It matches the Rfam family "Bacterial small subunit ribosomal RNA", at positions 29 to 507 of the family's 1533-position model. The record is from RNAcentral.
AACGAACGCUGGCGGCAUGCCUAACACAUGCAAGUCGAACGAGACCUUCGGGUCUAGUGGCGCACGGGUGCGUAACGCGUGGGAACCUGCCCUUAGGUUCGGAAUAACUCCCCGAAAGGGGUGCUAAUACCGGAUAAUGUCUUCGGACCAAAGAUUUAUCGCCUUUGGAUGGGCCCGCGUUGGAUUAGCUAGUUGGUAGGGUAAAAGCCUACCAAGGCGACGAUCCAUAGCUGGUCUGAGAGGAUGAUCAGCCACACUGGGACUGAGACACGGCCCAGACCCCAGGGGGAAGGGGGGGGGGGGAAAAUAGGGGAGGGGGCCAAAGGCAGCUCCGCCAAGGGCGGGGGGGUGGUGAAGGGUUUGGGGUGGAAAUGCUCUUUUCACGGGGCGUAAAAGACGGGAACGGGGAGAAAAGCCCCGGCUAAACCCGUG